AGCAGCCGCGGUAAUUCCAGCUCCAAUAGCGUAUAUUAAAGUUGUUGCAGUUAAAAAGCUCGUAGUUGAAUUUCGGGAUCGAUUUAUUGGUCGUGCUAUUGUACGUACUGGUAUUAUUGAUUCCUACCUUCUGACGAACCAUGAUGUCAUUAAUUUGGUGUCAUGGGGAAUCAGGACUGUUACUUUGAAAAAAUUAGAGUGUUUAAAGCAGGCUCACGCUUGAAUACAUUAGCAUGGAAUAACGAAAUAGGACGUUUGAUUCUAUUUUGUUGGUUUCUAGGAUCGACGUAAUGAUUAAUAGGGAUAGUUGGGGGCAUUAGUAUUCAAUUGUCAGAGGUGAAAUUCUUGGAUUUAUUGAAGACUAACUACUGCGAAAGCAUUUGCCAAGGAUGUUUUCAUUAAUCAAGAACGAAAGUUAGGGGAUCGAAGACGAUCAGAUACCGUCGUAGUCUUAACCAUAAACUAUGCCGACUAGGGAUCGGAUGAUGUAAUUUUUAAUGACUCAUUCGGCG
Molecule: ribosomal RNA, 512 nt
Filed under: uncultured Glomus
Lineage: Eukaryota; Fungi; Glomeromycota; Glomeromycetes; Glomerales; Glomeraceae
Description: SSU rRNA
Rfam family: Eukaryotic small subunit ribosomal RNA
Source: RNAcentral